CCAAUUUGGAUUGAGUCACACUCCUGCUUGUGACUUCACCAUUUGAAACAUGUGGUCUCCAAGGUCACUGCACCAGGGGGAAAGAGGGCUGGAAGACCCAGAAAAAAUAUUUCUAAGACCUGGGCCUGAAUGGAUUUAGACCAUUUCUCCCACAACUCAUUGGCUUGAGCUCAGUCACUUGGCUCCAUCAACGUGAAAACAAGGCUGGACAACAAGUCAUCUUCUGUGGCUAGAAGGAAGAAUUGAGAAUGAAAGCAGACAGAGAUACUGUCCUGAUUAUAUCAUUUGAGCUUUGCAAGCGACUUCAUAUGUGUUCCUGUCCUUUUUUGCAAGUACGAUUUACCUGCGGUCAACCUCUGUCCGGAAGCAGACGAUCCUCCUUGUGAUGAAUUGUCAGAAGGUCACUAGUAGCCUAACAAUACAUCACAACGCCUACGUCAUUCACCUCACUUCAUCUCAACAUGCAAGCGUUUUAUCAUCUCACAUCAUCACAAGAGGAAAAAGAGCUUCUGAUGUGUCUACCUGCAAGGCCAAGUGCAGUAAUUUGUGAGCAUGAGUUCAUCCAGUCAUUAAUAAAUACUUUACAGCAUCUAUAUACCAGGCACUGUGUUUGGUUCUAGG
RNAcentral lists this long non-coding RNA (621 nucleotides) under Equus caballus (horse). Its description in RNAcentral is "lncRNA (ENSECAG00000049868.1)". The record is from RNAcentral. Lineage: Eukaryota; Metazoa; Chordata; Mammalia; Perissodactyla; Equidae.